ACAACUUGCGACAAAGUGGUAAGAGACUCGACGUCACGUCAGCUGCAUGUACGUCGACGUCUGUUUUAUUUGUUUUCCAUUAUUUACCCAAAUGUCUACAACAGGUGUUGCGUGACGUGAGUGCCCAAUACUUUUACCCCGUCCUUCGUCACCCGAAUUCAGUUUUGCCAAGAUGAAAUUUAUUCAGAACUUGAAUGUCAUCGGGCCGAACAUCAUGUUGAUACUUUUCGUGCUUUUCGUUGACAUUGUGUCCGUCCAUUGUCACAUCUACGACGAAGCUAGUUCCGUUUCCCUCAUCAACCGAAUCGAUCGUUACCACCGGAGUACGGGGGACGAGUUUGACGACCAUGGACACACGGGCCACGACGACGAAGAUUUGAUUGGCACUUCCCGCUACACGAACGAAUGGGUAGUUAAAAUAACUGGAGGCGCCAAGUCCGCUGCCAAAUUGGCAGAAGAAAUGGGUUUCGAAAUCCAUGGAAUGGUCCAGAGUUUCCCCGACUUGUACCGAUUGCACAAAUCAGAUCACCCGAGACGGGGACGGGCACAGUCAUCCCAUGUGUCCCGACAGCUGGCGGAUGACGUGCGCGUCAUGUGGGCCGAGCAGCAAUACGCAAAGAGGAGGCAGAAACGCGGUUACAUUCCCGAUGAUCGUCUUUUUGAAACGGCUGAGGAAUCGGUGACAAAUGAAGAAGAUCGACCACUCGUUCGCGUCAAACGGGAAUCCGACGAAAAUGCAGAUGAGCCCCACAUUCGACAAAAGCGAUCCGACAUGGAAGCGCCAUCAAAGUCCAGUCAUCGAUUUAAUGAUGAACUUUGGGAUCAUCAGUGGUAUAUGCACGAUACCCGAACUAAUGCCGCUCUACCCAGGCUGGAUCUCAACAUUUUGCCUGUUUACGAUAUGGGUUACACCGGUCGCGGAGUCACGGUUGUUGUACUGGACGACGGCCUAGAGGGCACCCACACUGACAUCCGCAAUAAUUACAAUUCCAAAGUAAGCUUCGACAUGAAUGACGACGAUCCGGAUCCUAGUCCGCGUUACGGCCGAGGCUAUUUCAAUAGCCACGGGACGAGAUGUGCCGGUGAAAUUGCCAUGGAGGCCAAUAACGCCAAAUGCGGUGUGGGAGUAGCUUUUAACGUCAGCAUCGGCGGCGUUCGCAUGUUGGACGGCCCAGUCAGCGACCGAGUCGAGGCUUCGUCGCUCAUUUACGCACUGGAAAUGGUCGACAUUUAUAGCGCCUCGUGGGGUCCCAGCGAUGACGGCAAAACGGUCGAAGGACCGGGAAAACUCGUCCGUCAAGCUUUCUACCGCGGAGUGAAAGAAGGUAGGAAAGGUAAAGGGGCGAUUUACAUUUGGGCUUCCGGAAACGGCGGUCGAGUCAAAGAUAAUUGCAACUGCGACGGAUAUGUUUCGUCCAUUUACACGUUAUCCAUUGGAAGUGUAUCGGAGCAAGGCGACUUCCCGUGGUACGGAGAACAAUGCGCCUCUACCAUGGCAGUCACAUACUCGAGCGGCGCUUACACCGACCAGAAAAUCGCUACCGUCGAUCUGAACGACACGUGCACGAUGGAUCACACAGGAACGUCGGCAGCAGCGCCAUUGGCGUCCGGAAUCGUGGCGUUAGCCUUGGAGGCCAAUUCAAAUUUAACGUGGAGAGAUGUCCAGCAUUUGGUUCCAUGGACGAGUGAGUACGGGCCGUUAAAGGAUAAUAUUGACUGGCAAGAGAAUUCGGCCGGUUUUCGUGUAAACCCCCGCUUCGGAUUUGGGUUGAUGAACGCAGCCAAAUACGUCAGGGCGGCCAUCAACUGGAGCACUGUUCCAGAAAAAUCGAUUUGCGUUACUCCUUCGUUCAACGGGAAUUUGCCCGUGCUGUUUACCAACAAAGAAUGGGGUACCGUCGAAUUCGAGAGCGACGGGUGUUCCGGCACGCUAGACGAGGUUAAUUACCUUGAACAUGUGGAAGUGAUUGUCAGCAUCGAGUAUCCAGUUCGAGGUCAACUGGAAAUCGAUCUAAUCUCACCUUCAGGCACUUCGACGCAAUUGGUGAAGCAGCGCCCCAAGGAUAAAUCAAAACAGGGCUACGUCAAUUGGCCCUUCAUGUCUGUGCACACCUGGGGAGAGAUGUCAAAAGGUCGCUGGAAAUUGAUCGUGACCGACCUGUCGAGCCAGAAUUCGAGCCUAUUGUCAGGACGCAUCGUUAACGCCACGUUAGUCCUGCACGGCACUUCCGCUAUGCCGGAAUACCGGAAGAAUGGCGCCAGGAUUUAUGACGAUGCAUUCAACCGGCUUUCUUCCCGCUCGCACGAAAAAGCAACAAUGAGUGGCAGCAACCAGCUGGACGAUAGCGACGAGGCCGUCGACAUUAACCAACUUCGCUCCGAAAACCCCAACUUUUCGUGGAAGGAUUUGAUUGGAUUAAAGUUAACUCGCCAUUCGUAUUCGGACGAAGAAAAUUGAGGCAAAUUUCAUUUGAAAUAAUUUUUUGUUUUGUUUUGUUUUUAUUUCUUAUAUUCUAAUCAACAUUUUGCGUCAUUAACAACAUCAACUAUAGACCGGAUAAGGGUGGGGCACGGACGACGACAUGAUUGGACAGGCCCGGUUUUUCCCAUUCUAUAUUUUGUUUUGUAGUUUUCAAAUUUUUAUUUACUGGUUCUCUCCUCCAAACAAAACAACCGAUAAAAAUAAAAGUGGUUUACAUUGAAUAGGUUCACGUUCGAAAAAAUGUGUGUGACCCGUAAAAAAUAAAGGGAAAAUUGACGAGGGGGAAACCAACACAACAGUUUACUUUUUAGGGGGCCCUGUCAUUCCGUGUGUGUGUGUGUGUUUUGUGUUGUCGUCUAAUGAUGAAUAUCAAUAAAAAAUAUAGCACUCA
RNAcentral lists this unclassified non-coding RNA (2873 nucleotides) under Daphnia pulicaria. Its description in RNAcentral is "neuroendocrine convertase 1-like, transcript variant X2". The record is from RNAcentral. Lineage: Eukaryota; Metazoa; Arthropoda; Branchiopoda; Diplostraca; Daphniidae.